Molecule: transfer RNA, 72 nt
Filed under: Camelus bactrianus (Bactrian camel)
Lineage: Eukaryota; Metazoa; Chordata; Mammalia; Artiodactyla; Camelidae
Also listed under: 2 other names
Rfam family: tRNA
About the family: Transfer RNA (tRNA) molecules are approximately 80 nucleotides in length. Their secondary structure includes four short double-helical elements and three loops (D, anti-codon, and T loops). Further hydrogen bonds mediate the characteristic L-shaped molecular structure. tRNAs have two regions of fundamental functional importance: the anti-codon, which is responsible for specific mRNA codon recognition, and the 3' end, to which the tRNAs corresponding amino acid is attached (by aminoacyl-tRNA synthetases). tRNAs cope with the degeneracy of the genetic code in two manners: having more than one tRNA (with a specific anti-codon) for a particular amino acid; and 'wobble' base-pairing, i.e. permitting non-standard base-pairing at the 3rd anti-codon position.
Source: Rfam by way of RNAcentral
GAGGAUGUAGCUCAAUGGUGGAGCACAUGCUUAGCAUGCACGAGGUCCUGGGUUCAGUCCCCAGUACCUCCU